UUACGGGGGGGGACGCGAAGAACCUUACCAGGUCUUGACAUCUCCUGACCGCCCUGGAGACAGGGUCUUCCCUUCGGGGACAGGAUGACAGGUGGUGCAUGGUUGUCGUCAGCUCGUGUCGUGAGAUGUUGGGUUAAGUCCCGCAACGAGCGCAACCCUUGGUUCUAGUUGCCAGCAUUCAGUUGGGCACUCUAGAGCGACUGCCGGCGACAAGUCGGAGGAAGGUGGGGAUGACGUCAAAUCAUCAUGCCCCUUAUGACCUGGGCUACACACGUGCUACAAUGGAUGGUACAAAGGGCAGCGAAGCGGCGACGCAUGAGCGAAUCCCAGAAAACCAUUCUCAGUUCGGAUUGCAGGCUGCAACUCGCCUGCAUGAAGCCGGAAUCGCUAGUAAUCGCGGAUCAGCAUGCCGACGAU
This 417-nucleotide ribosomal RNA is filed under the name uncultured Bacillus sp. RNAcentral's name for it is "bacterial SSU rRNA". It matches the Rfam family "Bacterial small subunit ribosomal RNA", at positions 947 to 1363 of the family's 1533-position model. Lineage: Bacteria; Bacillati; Bacillota; Bacilli; Caryophanales; Bacillaceae. The record is from RNAcentral.